Myotis lucifugus (little brown bat) is the source of this 190-nucleotide long non-coding RNA. RefSeq lists it as uncharacterized. The record is from RefSeq and is a predicted model, not a curated record. Lineage: Eukaryota; Metazoa; Chordata; Mammalia; Chiroptera; Vespertilionidae. The transcript is spliced from 3 exons.
CCAAGACCCGAAACUGAGAGCCACCAGUCAGUCAGUCAAUCACAGUUCACUGGGACUGCUGUAGCACUGGAAUGGAACCCGUUAGCCACAGCAAGACUAACAGGCAUACAUCAGAGAUAUUGUGGGUUUGGUUCAAGAUUACCACAGUAAAGAACACUAUCUCCUGGAGUUUCACCUGCUCAAAAGCCCU